RNAcentral lists this ribosomal RNA (256 nucleotides) under uncultured bacterium. RNAcentral describes it as "partial 16S ribosomal RNA". It matches the Rfam family "Bacterial small subunit ribosomal RNA", at positions 524 to 777 of the family's 1533-position model. The record is from RNAcentral.
UACGGUAGGGGGCAAGCGUUAUCCGGAAUUACUGGGUGUAAAGGGAGCGUAGACGGCUGUGCAAGUCUGGAGUGAAAGGCGGGGGCCCAACCCCCGGACUGCUCUGGAAACUGUAUGGCUGGAGUGCAGGAGAGGUAAGCGGAAUUCCUAGUGUAGCGGUGAAAUGCGUAGAUAUUAGGAGGAACACCAGUGGCGAAGGCGGCUUACUGGACGUGUAACUGACGUUGAGGCUCGAAAGCGUGGGGAGCAAACAGGG